GUGUGUGUGUGCGCGUGCGCAUGUGUGUGCGUAUACAUGUGUGUGGGGACACACACACACACACACACACACACACACACACACACACACAC
Molecule: microRNA precursor, 92 nt
Filed under: Procavia capensis (Cape rock hyrax)
Lineage: Eukaryota; Metazoa; Chordata; Mammalia; Hyracoidea; Procaviidae
Description: miRNA (ENSPCAG00000019230.1)
Source: RNAcentral